RNAcentral lists this ribosomal RNA (484 nucleotides) under uncultured bacterium. RNAcentral's name for it is "partial 16S ribosomal RNA". It matches the Rfam family "Bacterial small subunit ribosomal RNA", at positions 28 to 507 of the family's 1533-position model. The record is from RNAcentral.
AUUGAACGCUGGCGGCAUGCUUUACACAUGCAAGUCGAACGGUAGCGCGGGCUCCGGCUUGGCGGCGAGUGGCGCACGGGUGAGUAAUGCAUCGGAACGUGCCCAGCUGUGGGGGAUAGCCCGGCGAAAGCCGGAUUAAUACCGCAUACGACCUGAGGGUGAAAGCGGGGGACCGAAAGGCCUUGCGCUAUUGGAGCGGCCGAUGGCGUGUUCGCUAGGUGGUGGGGUAAAGGCUUACCAAGGCGGCGAUCCGUAGCUGGUCUGGGAGGACGACCAGCCACACGGGGAGUGGGACGCGGCCCAUACGCCUGCGGGAGGGAGCAGUGGGGAAUGUUGGACAAUGGGGGCAACCCUGAUCCAGCCAUGCGGAGUGCGGUAAAAAGGCCUUCGGGUGGUAAACCGCUUUUGUUGGGGAAGAAAUCCUCUGGGCAAAUACCCCGGGUGGAUGACGGUACCGGAAGAAUAAGCACCGGCUAACUACGUG